CACCCAAGGCUCCGGCAAGACCGGCGUGCUGCGGGCGUACAUCUCGCAACUAUUGACUUUCGGAUGGCUAACAUUCGUCUUUGACGUGAAGGGAGACAUGGUGGCGAGCUUNNNCCGAGGAGUUCAUUCUCGUCGCGCCGCAUGACGCACGGACAUGGGCUCUGGACCUUGGACCGGAGGUCCGCAAUCGUGCCGUCGCCCUGGAAUUCGCCGCCAAAU
This 219-nucleotide unclassified non-coding RNA is filed under the name Hevea brasiliensis (rubber tree). Lineage: Eukaryota; Viridiplantae; Streptophyta; Magnoliopsida; Malpighiales; Euphorbiaceae. The record is from RNAcentral.